AGUCCUAAAGACGACGUAUACGGACUGACGCCUGCCCGGUGCUGGAAGGUUAAAAGGAGGGGUCAGCGCAAGCAAAGCUCCGAAUUGAAGCCCCAGUAAACGGCGGCCGUAACUAUAACGGUCCUAAGGUAGCGAAAUUCCUUGUCGGGUAAGUUCCGACCUGCACGAAUGGCGUAACGAUCUCCACACUGUCUCGGCCAGAGACUCGGUGAAAUUGCAGUCGCGGUGAAAAUUCCGUGUACCCGCAGAAAGACGGAAAGACCCUGUGCACCUUUACUAUAGCUUGACAUUGGAUUUUGGGCCUGCAUGUGUAGGAUAGGUGGGAGGCUGUGAACCCUGUACGCCAGUAUGGGGGGAGCCAUCCUUGAAAUACCACCCUUGCAUGUUUAAGAUCCUAACUUCUUCCGGUUAUCCCGGAGAAAGACAGUGUCUGGCGGGUAGUUUGACUGGGGCGGUCGCCUCCUAAAGUGUAACGGAGGCAUGCAAAGGUUCCCUCAGCCUGAUCGGAAACCAGGCGCUGAGUGCAAACGCAUAAGGGAGCUUGACUGUAAGAGAGACAUCUCGAACAGGAACGAAAGUUGGCGUUAGUGAUCCGGUGGUCCCGAAUGGAAGGGCCAUCGCUCAUUGGAUAAAAGGUACGCCGGGGAUAACAGGCUGAUCGCAUCCAAGAGUUCACAUCGACGAUGCGGUUUGGCACCUCGAUGUCGGCUCAUCACAUCCUGGGGCUGGAGCAGGUCCCAAGGGUACGGCUGUUCGCCGUUUAAAGUGGUACGCGAGCUGGGUUUAAAACGUCGUGAGACAGUUUGGUCCCUAUCUUCUGUGGGCGAAGGAGAAUUGAGAGGGCCUGUCCCUAGUACGAGAGGACCGGGAUGGACGCACCCCUGGUGAUCCUGUUGUCGCGCCAGCGGCAUAGCAGGGUAGCUAUGUGCGGAAGGGAUAACCGCUGAAAGCAUCUAAGCGGGAAGCCUGCCUCAAGAUAAGUUCUCCCCUCGAAAGAGCUGAAGGGCCCGGGUAGACUACCCGGUCGAUAGGCUGGAGGUGUAAGCGCGGCGACGUGCUCAGCUGACCAGUACUAAUAGCCCGAGCGGCUUAUUUUU
This 1097-nucleotide ribosomal RNA is filed under the name human gut metagenome. RNAcentral describes it as "bacterial LSU rRNA". It matches the Rfam family "Bacterial large subunit ribosomal RNA", at positions 1829 to 2925 of the family's 2925-position model. The record is from RNAcentral.